CACUACUCUCUGCAGAGCCUUCUUGUCCUGGGCAGAGCAAUUUCCAAACCAGAUGGUAAUAUUUCCGGACAAGAUGCUUUCCACAGCCGCUGCGUAGAAGCACUGGAGGAUGGCAAUGUGGUCAGAGAGGAUGCAGAAAGGCUUUGGGGAUGUGGAAAACUUGGCAUGGCUCAUGGCAGAUGCAAUAUAGUGUGGAAAAUGUAAAGCCAUCUGUUUUGAUUGAAAAGAUAAAAGGUGAAGUAUUCUUCAAAUGGUGAGAUAUUGAUAAAUGUUGUUAAAAGACACUUUUAGCAGCGAGCAACUAGAUAGGCAUUGGAAAGUUGGCUAUGAUUGCAUGAGGUUGUGAGUACGAAUAGAGAUGUACUGUACCAGGGUCCUGAUGAAAUUAUAUCUGGAAUAGCGCCUAUGUGUCCGGUCCUAGUGAAGGAUAAACAUGUGACAGAAGGAGGUGUAGCAAACGUUUGCAUCCUAUUUUGGGGUGGCAACGAUAAAACAUUCUGUCUAGGAUGUCCACAACUAGUUGUUACAUUUUCAAAAUAAGAGUUCAGGACAGAUGAGAAUACAUUUUUACAGAGGGUACUGAUUUUUUGGAAUUCUCUACUCGAGAGUUGUGAAGGCUCAGUUGUUGAGUAUAUUCCAAACAUCAAUAGAUUUAUGCAGGUUUUGUUUCAUUAUUGUCACGUCGCAAGGUACAGUGAAAAGCUUUGUUUUGCAUGCUAUCCAAACAGAUAUGCCAUAAAUAGAUACAAUCAGUUCCAACUCAAGUACAUUAGAUAGAGCAGAGGGGAAGAUUGGUUAUAAUUUGCAGCAUUGUAGUGUCGUCCGUUCCUUAGGCAAAGUCCAAUGUCUUUAAUGGGGUUGAGGUGUAUUGAACAGUACCCCAGCUGAUGGAAGGACCAUUCAGUGCCUAAUAACGGAGGGGAGAAGCUGUUCCCGAGUCUAGCGGUGAGUGUUUUACCAAGCGAAUCAAGGAAUGUGCAGAUAGUGUAAGAAAGUAGUGUUAGGUUAAAAGAUCAACCACAAUCUAAACCACAAAUUUAUAUCUUAUGAAGAUGCAGCUACCCGGAGUAAUUUGUCUGCAUUUCCUGCCUAAUUUAUUUUCAUGAGAUAGACCUUCUAUCCUAGGUACCAAUCGUCACUGUGCUCUAUUUAUACAUAUCAAUCUCCAUGAUCGACACAAUCUCUGAUUGACACAAUUAACUGCAGUUGUUGGAAUUUUGAGCAAAACACAAAGUAUAGUUUGAGUAGGAUGUCCAUGUUAACUCUGUUGUUGCUAUUGUUUUCUAAUAGUCCUAAUUUAACACUAAUCCUAAAGAGAUUCCAGUCAGUAUUCCAGAACUGUAUUUUGUUCCAGAUGAAUUAAGCAUAAUUCACAGAAUACAACAAGGAUACUUUGUUGCAUCAAUUUGCGGGAAUAUUGAUCAAUUCAGGAUUUGAGGCUAGGAGAGUGUACGAGGCAAACUAAAUAUUUCCCCCCGUAAUUUAUUUUCUCUUAUGUUUUCAAUGAUGUACUUUGCUGUGAAAUGUUUGUGGUUUAAGAAAUUCACUGAACUUUUCUGAACAAUUGUAUAUAAUGGAAUGAAAUUAGGAAAUGGAAGAUUACACAGGUCCAUAAUGCAUGUUUGUAAAAUAAACCUCAAAUGAAUGCAAUUACAGGUUACUUUGUUAAUAAUUAAACUGUGAAUAAAAGACAAAUUCUGAAAUAAAUUACUGCAAGUGCUG
Long non-coding RNA from Amblyraja radiata (thorny skate), 1722 nucleotides. RefSeq lists it as uncharacterized. NCBI's taxonomy places the organism in Eukaryota, Metazoa, Chordata, Chondrichthyes, Rajiformes, Rajidae. The record is from RefSeq and is a predicted model, not a curated record. The transcript is spliced from 2 exons.